GUGGGAGGUAACACCGUCGGGGCGACCGUGGCUCGCUGCGCUCCCCCGCCCCUCGCGGAGCACCAGGACCUCCGUCCGCUACGGCGCUAUUAUUAUUAAUCAUUAUUAUUGUUAUUUAAGCAGCGGCACCCUGCACCCUCCGGGGCAGCCGUUAGGAGCCGGCCUGUCACCCUGGGGCAGCCGUUAGGAGCCGGCCUCUCACCCCUGGGGCUGCUGUUAGGAGCCGGCCCGUGACGCCGGGGCAGCCGUUGGGAGCCGGCCUGAGGCAGCGCUGGCGGCUACCUCCUGCCUCCGCCUUGGGGUGUCGGGGCUGUGCAGGCGUGGGCGCCGCUCAUAACCUCGGGGCUUCUCUGUUCUCAUCUGAGAUUCGCUUUUUUAUUCAUUAAAAAGUGAAGACAGCCGGUAUCACUUUUUAUUCCCUAAAUGGGCUAUAUCCACCUUCUGGGGCAUAUCAUGCUUUUUUUCCCAUUAAUUUCUUUUUUUCCCUUAUUAUUUAAAAACCUUUGAGCAUAUAUGCACUGUAUCAGCAGUUUGAAUAAGUUAAUCUGUCGAUUGCCUUUGUUUUCUUGAAAAUCUCCCCAAAAUCGUGUGAAGAUGAGCUCCUAGAAACUGUGGUAACUCUUGACUUUUUUAUCAGAACUAAAGUGAAUUUUGAGUAUCCAUCGCACUUACUGGCACCCUUUUCUUACUAAAUAACCUGACAGCGGCAGCCUCAGCUGUUGGCAGUGGUGUUGCAUGAGUUGCUGGUUUAUGCAGCAAGAGAGAGUGAAAGGAAAAAGCUGUAUGUGCAUAAGUUUGUGUAUUGGCUUUGUACUUUUGCUGUCAAAAGGACACUAAUGUGCACUGGUGAGAUCAUAGCCUGCCGGUGAUCAAAGGAACGGUGCAAUAAAACUUCAGCCCUCCAGUGAAUUUUUAUUUAAAGUAACAAACUUGACUGGAAAGCUUUUUCAUGUGGUUUUUCGGCCACUGCCACAGAAGCAGUUUUAAACAAAUGUCAUCUUCACCUUCUACAGCAGCUUGGCUUCUUAGGGCUAUCCUAUGUUAAUAUUUUUACCACGUGCUGUCAUAAAAUAAGAGUAACCAAAGACUUGCAGGACAGUAUUUCCUUCUUUAGGUGUCUGGCACCAUAGCUCAUAACAAGAAUACACUGUACUGAGCAUUUACGUUUGCUUAGUGGCAUGUAAGGAAUUUAGAGAGAAUGCAGAGAAAUAAUUUAGGAAUAAAACCCUUUUCUAAUUUUGGAGCAUUUGCGGCAAAUAAAUAAACUUUUAGAUUUGGACCAUAGAUUGCAGGGGAGGAGGGCUUGACAGCAACACUAGUAACCAAGGCUUUGAAAGAAGGAUAUACUUUGGCAACCGGAGAGCCCACUCAUCCGUGACCACUUCUCUCUUUACACAACAGUAAGCCUCUUCAUAUGACAAGUCUAAAUCUAUUAGCCUUGACCAAGUAAUAUAUCAAUCAGCUGAUGUAAUAAGGGAAAAUCCUAAUCUGUGUUUAGAAGAUACUCUGUGAGUAUAUGGUAGCUGUUGACCAACAAAAACCACUAGCAUGCAAAUUUAUGAUCCUCCCAGAAAUAAAUCCUCAUUUGUAUUUUUUAUAAGACAGUUUGGCUGAAGAGCUGCUAUUAAAACUUGAAGUGAAAAAUAUAAUAGUGUGAAAGUUGAGGGAUUAUUUACACACAAAGCCGUUUAUCUUACUAAAUACACAAAAAAUGUUCUUAGGCUUUCAGCAUCUAACAUAUGAACACAAAUUGCAAUUUAAUGGGUUCAGAACAAUGGAGGCAUGGUGUGGUACUUUCUGUCAUCUUGAAAAUUGUUGAAGUGUUAAUUUAGAACAAAUAUGUAUGCUGGAAUUGCUUAGAAGGACACCACUGAGACAAAAUAAAUAAGCGCUUUCUGCAUCCUAGAGUUUAUCAAAAUCUUGUUUGUUGUAGAUAUAUGUCUCAUGUCUUUGGGUUCACCUUGCAGUCUUUAGCAUUUGGUCCCAUUUUAAAUUAUUUGCUUAGGGGUCUGUCUCUUGGUCUUGAAAGAGAGGAAGUCUCUCUUUGUAGAUACUUCAUGUCCUUGAUAAAAACAGGUCUUUUUUUCCUGUUUUCUUAGUUGUAUUCACUCUUCUUCCAGUGUCUGGGGUAUUCUCUGGGCUUGCAAGGACUCAACAUUUGCUCACAUGCUGUGGCAUUGUGCCCAGCAAUUCUUUGGAUGUUCAUUAACAUAAGGGGGACCAUAAAGAGCAAGGACUCCAGGUGAAGCACGACCACAAGUAAUAAGUAUUUUAUUACUCUUACGUUGCAAUAUCUCAGCCUAAUUCACUAUAGCCUGGCACUAUAUAUCAUACUACAUAUGCUUUGGGUUCACAACUAUGUUGCUGUCUUACAGCUUCCAGUCUCUUGAUGCCCCAUCAGUCACAGAAGAGCCGCAGUGCGGGCACCCCCGUCUCUCCAGGUGGCCGGAGCAGAGUCCACGCGUGCACAAGAUGGCGUUAAUCUCUUUGAUACUUCCCCUCGUUACUCUUCCCCAGUAGCAGCGGUUUAAACCACUCACAAGCCGAACUGCGUUUCAUCCAAUCAUGUUCUGUUGUUCCCUUGUGAUUUGCUUGCUUUUGCUUCUUAUCACUCUAUUCCCACAUAGUUCUACCAGAGUUAACAGUUUCUGCAGUGUCAUUUCACCCCUUAUCACUGUAUUCCCACACAGCUCUGCAGUGUGGUACCCCAGCUUGAAGGCACCCCAGGUGGUUGCCAACUGGUGAGACGCACCCACGCCGUCUGCUGCAGUAAGGGCUGUGCUCUCCUUGAGGCCCACCCUUGCCUGCAGGCCUGUGACACAUAUUGUAACAUAAAGACGAUGCCAUAAUUUUCUGAAGGAGGUCAAAUUUUGUGAAGCAUCUAUCAAAUCCACUUAGCACAAAAUAUUAAUUACCAUUUAGAAACCAGAAGUGAUACAUUAGCUGCAAUUCACAAAGAAUGCAAAUACUCUAAAGGAAAUAGGUAUGUCCUUGAAGCCACCUUUUCUUUUCUUUUUUUUUUCAACGUUAACCUCAACUGAAAUUGGACAAUAAAACAUUUUUUCCUGCUGUGUAACUUCUGAAACAGCAAUUGAUUCUGUAGACUUAACCAGGCUAAUGAGAAGCCAGUCCUUCCUUUCUUCUUUUUCCAGGGCUGCAAACUUUUUCAAAACAGUAGCAGUGAAGUUAUAUGAAAGUUUGAACCCACAGGAAGAUCUGCCACCCUUUUCUCUGAUGCAUAUAUGGCUACAGCAUGGCUUGGCUUCUUUCUUUAAUUCCACAAAUGAAAAGAAAACACACACUAGAACUGGCAGAUUAAAUGUCAGGCAGCAAUUUUAUUGCAUCACAAAUUUCCAUGUAUAAACAGGGUUCCUCCCAUUUUAACCAGGGUCAGGGAAAACCAAGAUCCUUUUGUUCAGGUAAAUAUUAAGUAAACUGUAAGACACCCAAGUCCAUAGGGAAUUUGCAGAUCUCAGUUCAUCUUCCAAAGUGCAAAUCCAUCUGCCUGUGUCCAGGCAGUAACUCCUAAAAAUUGAGUGUCAGCGCAGCAGCCCAAAUAUCAAUUACAUGGGGCAUAGAGGUGCCCAGGAGCACACUUCUACCCAGCCUGCCCCCGGGCCUGUCCGCGGGCAUGUGUCACCAACCACCCUCACACAGGGGCACAUCCUAAGCCGUGGCUGCCUUUCCCUCCUCUCGUGUUGUCCUAGACAGAGCCCGCAGCUGGGAGGGAGCAGCAGUGUCCCGGACAGGCUCCCCAAAGGAGUGCUGUCAGGAUGAUGGCUGCCUCCAAUGAACGUGCUUCUGGGAAGCCUGGGCACUGUAUCCUAAAUGUGAGAAUUUUCUCUUUAUUGCACAGAUCAGACACCGGGGAAAAUAUUUUGAUGCUUCAAUUCUUUCCUGGCAAGCCCCUGCACCAGCUUGCCAUGAGAUAAUGCAACUUGCUGUGUUUAAACUAUUCCUAGCAAACACCUUGUUAAUGGACUUUUUGGUAAUACUGUUGCUAAUGUGCCAUUCUAUGUAUUUCAUGGUGAGUAGGUAUCCAUGUAACCAUACAGAUACCGCUUUUAAGUGAAUGAGGAGGAAAACAGUUAAUUUCUUUAUUAAACAGGAAAAUCUGAUUUUACAAAAUAGAGCGUGGAUUCGGGUAAAAGGUGUUUUCUUUUGUAAGGUGAUUAUGUAGAUGCUUUCUCAGAGUUUUAAUGCUGUGAAUUUUCACUAAGAAGUCUAGCAAAAUGUUUGGUUUUGUACAGAUUCAAAAUACUAUAUCAGUGCAACAGAAGUUAAACAACAUAGAUGAUCCUUGAAGAAAAGAUUCAUGAAGAAGAGGCCUAAAAAUGCUACAGGCUUUAAAACUUGACUUGAAGGAACAUCUGCUUUGCAAGGGGAAACUUGGGUGCCUUAAAGUGCUUUGUAGGAUGUGAAGUUAAAACACCUCAUGGUCACUAAAUCGAUGUUGAAACUGGGUUCAGAGAUCUCAGAAAUUCCUUGAAUAUAACCCUCUUGGUUUUCUUUCACAGGAGAGCAUGAGGCCUCACGUGCUCACUCAACCAAGUGAUAGAGAGCAAAAGCAAGGAAAGUGACUGAAGGUUGGAGGCCAUAAUCCCCGGGUGGCUUCUAUUCACAUCUGCUCUUUUCCACGGGGAAGCGUAUUACCACAGAAUCCGCCUAUCGCUGCCCCUUGCAAAUGAAGGACAGAGUGACAUCUCCUGUGAAAUACAAAUGAAAAGGAUCACAACACCAAGUUAAAUAGUAACUCACUUCCUGUUCUCAUCCAAGACACCUGUGAAGCAGAGAACACUCCUGACCUUUUCACAUGGACAAAAUAGGACUUUGCAUGUUUUGCUAAUAGCUUUUAAAUAAAAACAUCUCCCUCUUUUUUGA
Dromaius novaehollandiae (emu) is the source of this 4881-nucleotide long non-coding RNA. RefSeq lists it as uncharacterized. The transcript has 2 exons. NCBI's taxonomy places the organism in Eukaryota, Metazoa, Chordata, Aves, Casuariiformes, Dromaiidae. The record is from RefSeq and is a predicted model, not a curated record.